AUACGGCGGAUCCGAGCGUUAUCCGGAUUUAUUGGGUUUAAAGGGUGCGCAGGCGGCCAUUUAAGUCAGCGGUUAAAUCGUGGGGCUCAACCCCAUUCUGCCGUUGAUACUGGGUGGCUUGAUUGCGGUCGAGGUUGGCGGAAUUCGUUGUGUAGCGGUGAAAUGCAUAGAUAUGACGAAGAACACCGAUUGCGUAGGCAGCUGACCAGACCGCAAAUGACGCUCAUGCACGAAAGUGCGGGGAUCAAACAGGAUUAGAUACCCUGGUAGUCCACGCAGUAAACGAUGAUCACUAGCUGUUUGCGAUACAGUGUAAGCGGCACAGCGAAAGCGUUAAGUGAUCCACCUGGGGAGUACGCCGGCAACGGUGAAACUCAAAUGAAUUGACGGGG
Molecule: ribosomal RNA, 392 nt
Filed under: uncultured bacterium
Lineage: Bacteria
Description: partial 16S ribosomal RNA
Rfam family: Bacterial small subunit ribosomal RNA
Source: RNAcentral